AAGAAUAAACUUCCACUAGCGUAGGGACCCGCGCGAUGCGGCGGGUAGAAAUAUUUUAGUAAAAAUUUAUAGUCUGUAGAUUUAACAAACAAAUAAAAACGUUAAAAAGAAACAGAAAAAAUAUUUAAAAUAUUAUGAAGGGUAAUAAAUAAUAAAAAAAAACUAAAGAGGUUCAAAUUCACACUUAACUAAUCAUAUAAAGAUAUUUAUCAAUCCUAUUAUCUUUUCUAAUUUAAAUUAGAUUUCUCUCAAAAAUCAAUUAUUAUUGCAUUUGUUUAUGGACAUUCAAAUUGUCAUGCCAUCAAAGAAUUAGCACGAAAUGUAAAAAAAUUAAAGAAAAAAUAUGAAGGAAUAUAUGAUAGUCAUACAAAUAAAUUUAAAAAUAAUAAUAGUUAGUUUUUAACUACCGUUAAAUUGUAAAAGCCCACUUUUCAUAUAUCUAUAAGCUAACAAUCUAUAUAUUAUGUUAGUUUGUUGAUGUAAAUACUAAUUUAAUCAGUUUUUUUUAUAAUUUUACUCCAUCAAUUUUGUUUAACUCAAAUGACUUAUUCAUGAACAGUAAUAUGCAAUAAAAAAAAAAAAGAGAGAGAAAUAAUACAUAUUCAUCCGACAUAGAAGGAGAGGAAUCUGCAUUAGCAGCUUCAAUUAGACAAUUCGAAAGUUUUAUCCGAUGACUCCAUUUUGCCAUUCUGUAUCGAAAAAAUCUCCUAAUAUCAUCUAUGGUCUUCUCGAAAGAGGAUAAAAGAGGGCCUUAGACCAAGAACAGUCUCUUUCCUUUUAUAUAAAUAAAUAAAAUUAGGAAGAGUUCAGGAAUUUUGGGAUGCUAUUGGCUAUGAUAAUAAUAAAAAGACUCACUUUCUAAAGCAAAGCUUUCUAUACUUCUUUAGGCUAUCAACGAAGCUUUAAUAACCAAGAGGUCUUGGCUUUUAUUACAUGCAUACCAUUAUUUAUUUGGAGUUUGAUAACUAAGAGGUCAUGGCUAGCUUUUAUUACAUGCAUACCACUAUUUUGUAUUUGGGAGGUGAGAGGGGAGCAGUUUUGGGAGAUGAGAAGGUAGUAGUUUUGGGGAUUCAUUUAGUUUUAUUUCUUUUAUUAUGUUAUAUGCAUGGAGUUACAUGCAUAUAUAUUUAUAUUUCAAAACAGUUUUGAAAAAUGAAGAGGUAGUAGUUUUGGGAUUCAUUUAGUUUUAUUUUUUUUAUAAAACUUUUAUUAUAUUAUAUGCAUGGAGUUACAUGUAAAUAUACAUUUAUAUUUCAAACCAUCAUUAAAAACUUUUAUUAUGUUAUAUGCAUGAAGUGACAUGCAUAUAUAUAUAUAUUUAUAUUUCAAAUCAUCAUUAAAAAAUAUGAAAAAUCUAAAAAAAUGAGAGCUUGCCAUGUCAUCAUUCUUAUUGGGGAUUCAUAUAGAGUUAUAGAUUCUUUCGUAGUAAUCUCCUUAUAUUUAAAAUAACAAAAAUAAUAAAUAGUAUCUCCAUGCUGUUAAGUAAUAAGUAACUAAAUAAAAAAUGUGUAGCUGCAUUACAUUCAACUAUACACUACCUAAGGAGCUAUUUGGUUUCUCAAAAAAUAUGGGCCAAUUUGCAUAAAAAAUCCACAAGUUUAGAGCUUUGGCAAAACUGGGCAAUAUUUUUCGAUUUUGCAGAUUCGGUCCGAAUUUUCAACGAACUGACCAAAAUACCCUUAUACCUUUUUCUCUCUCCUCUUUUUUUCUUUCGUUCUUUUUUUUUCCUCUCCGAAGAAGGCGGAGGAGGCGGAGGCAGAAACGGCCCGCCUCGCCUCUGCCCCUCACGCUCGCCCUCGCCCUUGCACCCCCCGCCCUCCUCCCUUCCGACCCCGACGAAGCCGCGCUCGACCCUUUUUUAUUUUUUUUUCUCUUCGACCCUCCUCCACCCGUCGUCCCCACCGCCACCACCGGCGACAAAGAGAAAGUGCUUCUCGAGGUCCAGAAGCACUCCGCGCGAGGGAGGGGGAGAAAAAGAGUUACACUCCGACAAGGAAAAGAAAAUAAGAAUGAUAAAAAAAAAAAAUUUACAGAAAAGAUCAAAAAUUACACUAUUUAAAAAAAUUACACUGUUAAAAAAUUACACUGUUUUAAAGAAAUUUUGCAUUGUUUUAGAUAAAAUUGCACUCUUUGAAAUAAAAAUUACACUGUUUUGAAAUGAAGAGUUACACUCUUUAGACGAAUGUUGCACUAUUUGGAUGAAAUUUACACCAUUUCUCCUUUCCCACGUCUUCCUUCUUCUUCCUCCUCCUUACACCAUUUCUCUUUCCACCCCCAUUAGAGCCGCGAGGCCCUCGCCGCCGCCUAGCCCUCGACGCCGCCGACACCAACUCGGCCAGGACCCCGAUUGCGGAGGAGAUCGAGCGCGUGACACGGCGAGGAGACGGUUCGAAAAAAGAGCGGCCGCUGGUGGUGCAUGACCGCGGACCAACUGGUAGUGGGCGCCGACGAGGUCCUGGCCGCCGCCGAGGUCCUCCUCGUAGCCUCGUCAUCCUGCGGCGACUCCUCCUCCCUCUGCCUCCACUACCGUCGCCUCGCCCUCCUCCUCCGCUCCCUUCACUCCCCCCCGGCCGCCGAGGCCUGCUGCCUCGUCGUGCUCCGGCGACGCUGACGUUGUUGGUGAUGCAGAACCCGUUCCUGGUGCGGUCAGAGGCGGGGCUGGCGACGCGGAGUUCCUCUCCCUCUCCGACCUCCGCCGCCUCCCCGCCUUCGGUAGGGCCGUCACCACCCUUUUCCAAACCACCGGCCACCCCCCCUCCGACCUCGGCACCGUCAACCACACCUCCCUCAAUUCCUCCUCUGUUGUCCUCGUUCGCUCCCCGACGCCCUUCUCUCCCUCCUCCGCCAACUCCAACGCCACCGUACUAGGCCUCGUCACCUCCCUCCCCUACGACGUUAGCGUCUUUGUUGUUGACGCCCUCCUCGUCCUCUACAACUUUAACCUCGCCGCGUCCAAUACCCGCCCCCCCAUCGACGUCAACAUCACACGGGUGCUCGUCGAGGCGCACGGGUUCAACGUCGCCGCAUCCAUGCUCGAGCGCCGGCGGAGAAGGGGGGCGGCGACGUGAGGGGUCCUUGACGGUGACAACGGCGGAGAAGGUGGAGGAGGAAGAAGGAGGAGGAAGACGAGAACACGGAGGGGAAAAAGGAAGGGAAGAAGGAGGAGGAAGAAGAAGAGAGUAAGACAUAGUGUAAAUUUCAUCCAAAUAGUGCAAUAUUAGUCUAAAGAGUGUAACUCUUCAUUCCAAAGAGUGUAAUUUUUAUUUCAAGUAGUGCAAUUUUAUCCAAAAUAGUGCAAAUUUUUUUAAAAUUGUGUAAUUUUAUUUUAAUAGUGCAAUUUCAUCAUCUUCUUCAUUCUUCUAUGAUUUUUGGUCAUUUCUGUAGAAAUUUUUUAUUUUUUAUUAUUCUUAUUUUCUUUCCCUCGCCGGAGUGUAACUAUUUUUCUCCUCCUCCCUUGCUGGCAUUAGGGGUGGCAAUCCAGCUCGAUGUUCGCGAGCCAGCUCGUGUUCAGCUCGAAAUGAGCUCGAGAUCGAAUCGCUCGUUUAGUAAACUUGCCGAACAUGAGCUAAAUUUUUCAGCUCAUUUAAUAAACGAGUCGAACACGAGCUGGGGUCAGCUCGCUCGUGUUCAACUCGAUAACAACUCGAAUACAUAUAUUUUAUAUUUAUAUAAUUUAUUUAAUAUAUAUUUUUAUAUAUAAAUAAAUAAUUAAAUAUAAUAUAUAUAUAUUUUUAUUAUUUAAAUUUUAGCAAAAUAAAAAUAUAAAUGCGAGUUUAAUUAUAAAAAGACUCAUUUAUAUGUAAAGUUUCAACUAUUAAAUCAAAGUCUAAUAAAUAAGAUUUUAUAAAUUUAUUUUAUAUAUAUUCAAUUUAAUCCUUUUUAAUUUAUUGUUCGUUGGCCAGCUCGUAAGUCAGCUCAUGUUUGGCUCGCUAAUUCGAACUGAAUUUUUCGACUCGAUACUUUAACGAGCCAACUCGUGUUCGGCUGGUUUAUUAAACAAGUCGAACACGGGCUGGCUCUAGCUCGCUCGUGUUCGGCUCAUUUACACCCCUAGCUGGCAUGCUUCUGGACCCCGAGAAGCACUUUCUUUUUGUUGCCGGCGGCGGUAGUGUGGACGGCGGGUGGAGGAGGGUUGGAGAGGAAAAAAAAAGGGUCGUGGCACGGCUUCGACGGGGUCGAAAGUGAGGAGGGUGAGGGGUGCGCAAACGAGGGCGAGCGUGAGGGGCAGAGGCGAGGUGGGCCGUUUCUGCCUCUGCCUCCACCACCUUCUUCGGAGAGGGGAAAAAAAAAUGAAAGAAAAAAGAGGAGAGAGAAAAAAGUAUAAGGGUAUUUUGGUCAAUUUGUUGAAAAUUCGGACCGAAUCUACAAAAUCGAAAAAGAUGGCCCAGUUUUGCAAAAGUUCAAAACUUGUGGAUUUUUUAUGCAAAUUGGCCAAAAAUAUGCAAAGCAAUCCAAGAAAUAAAUAUUUUAUGAAAAACUUCUUAUUCAGUUUUUUGACUAUUGAAUUUUAAAAAAAUUGUUUCUUUAAAAGAAAAUUAGAUUUUAUAGAAAACUAUCUUUUUUAUUUUUCUAAAAAAAAUUAGAAAAAGAAAAUACUAGUUUUUUAAGAAAUAAUCUAAAUUUUUAUGAAAGUAAAUGGAUGGAAAAUUUAAAAAUAAAAAAUUCACGUCUUUUUCGAGAAUCAAACAACUCCUAAUAAGAGUUUAGAUGCACAUGUAACUCUAUUUUAAAAGGCCAAUUUGCAUAAAAAAUUCACUAGUUUUGAGUUUUUGCAAAAGUAAACCGUCUUUUUGAAUUUUACAGAUUCAGAUCGAAAUUUUAGAAAACUGACCAAAAUACAUUUGUUCUCUUUUCUCUCUCCACCUUUUUUUUUUUUUCUCUCGUUCUUCUUUUCCUUUCUCUCCCAAGGGGGCGGCGGAAGCGGAGGCUGCUCACCUCAGCUUUUGUCCAGCACACCCUCACCCUCACCCUUACCCGCGCACCCCUGCCUUCCUCACAUCCAAUCCCGCCGAGACCGCGUCGCAAUCCUUUUUUUUUUCUCCGCCCCUCCUCCAUCGCCUAACGCCGCGUCCUCUUCCUCUCAUUUUUUCACUAGUUCUUUUUUGUUUCUUCGAACCCCCUCCACCUGCUCCGCGACCCUCCACGGCAGUAACGAAGAGAACGCCGUAUUCUCUUACUCUGCCUUCGCCGGCGCAGGCAUCGACACCAGGGCUGAAGAAGGAGGACUCGAAACGAGCGCGGGUGAGAGCGAAACCAAGAAAAAAAUAAAAAAUAAAUAAAAUAAAAAGAAUAAAAAUAAAAUAUAAAAUAUACUUUUUUCUACAAUAAAAAUAAAGAAUCAGAGAGAAAAGAAGAUGAAGAUGUACUGUUUCAGAGAAACGUUCCACUAUUUUUUAAAAAAAUUAUAUUUUUCUGAAUGAAAAUUGCACUAUUUCUCCUCAUCCACACGAAAACAAAGAAGAAGAAGAAGGAGGAGGAAGAGGCGAAAUAGUAUAAUUUUUGUCCAAAGAUUGCAAUUUUUUUAAAUAGUGCAACUUUUAUUUAGAAAAGUUUAAUUUUUCUCUCAAAUAGUAUAAGUUAUUUUUAAAACAGUGCAACGUUACUCUGAAAUAGUAUAACUUCAUCAUCUUCUUAUUUUCUAUAUGAUUCUUUAUUUUUCUGUAACUUCUUUUCACCCUCUCCGACCUUUAUCAUCUCUUCCACUGUCUCGGGGCCUUCUACGACGGUAACGAGGACGACAUCACAUACUCUCCCUCCAUCUCCUCCCUCGCCGGUGCCCGCGGCGCUCAACAACGAUAACGAGGGCGGCGCCGCCUCCUUCGCCUUCGCCUCGGCCGGCACCAGAGAAGAAAAAGGAGAACUCGAAAUAGAUCCGGAUAAGGACCAUUAUAUAUUAUUGCUGCUACCGAAAAAUAAUAUAUAAUUAUUUUUAAAAAAAAGUUAAUUUUUUUUACUCUUUAUUCUUGUUUCUUUUUCUACUAUCUACACCUUUGUUCGCUCAUUGAAGAUUGGUUCGUCCUUUUUUUCUCACCCUCACAGACAGCGAGCACCUCCUCGACAAUAAUCUCAUCGCCUUCGUCCCUCACUCGACUAUAGUAUUUUGAGCAUUUUAGGCGGUGAUAAGGUUUAAAAGGUUAAAAGAGUUAAACGUGCUAAGAUUAGAGUAGUCCCGAAAUGGAUGACCCUCUGAGAAGUUAGGGCAUCAUAAUAGCUGAUACAAUCACAAAUUUUAACAAAAUUUUCAAAUAUAGUAACUAUAAUAAUUCAAUUCUACAAAAUCAAAAGGCAAUGGGUCUCAGUAAAAAUAUUAAAGCUGAGGGUGGGCUAUUUCAAAAUUGUCUAUAGUUGAGGGGGUCUGCAUACACCUUCAAUCUAGAAACUAAGCUUUUUUUAGUAUUCUCAUGGGAAAAGUAGCCAAGUCAAACACUACCUUAGAAAUUAAGCUUGAGCCUGAGUCCAACUACGAUGUAUUUCUAGGGCCCUAGUCCGACCUGCUAAUCGGUCUAGGGUUGUCAACGAAGCACGAGUAAGCUAGAAUGGCCCGUACUAAUUCAUUUAUUAAACGAGCCAAAUAUAAAUUAAUUUGUUAGAAUAUUGAACUCAAAAUUUUAACUUGUAUCCACUUUAUUUAUCAACGAAUUGAACACGAGCUGACUUGCGAACAAUAAGUUAGGUUGUCAGCCGUAUUACUGGGCGGCAAGUUGAAAAAAAUUAUAUAUAAAAAAUUAAAAUUUUAAUCUAAUAAUUAAAAUUUAAAAAAAUAUAAUUUUUUUAUAUUUAGAUUGACUUAAAGUCUAAAUAGUAGAAAAUUGUAGUAUAUAUAUUUGAGUUAUAUGGAGCCGAGCACCAGCGAGUUGCUCCCACCUCGUGUUCGGCUCGUUAAUCUUUCACACUGAAAAAUUCAACUAGUAUUCGACUCAUUUAUUAAACAAGCCGAUCAAUCUUGACCUCAUUUCAAGCUGAACAUAAACUAACUUGCGAACAGCGAGAUGAAUUACAUGCCUGCUUUAGUUAUGAGACAUUAAUACAAAUAUAUCAAUUUUUAUCAGCCACUUACACAAAUUGCUUAAUAAGUUAAUACUAUACUUGUCAUUUUUAAUAUAAAUAUUUAACCAAAUGGUCCCUUGUUUUAGAGGGAUUGCACAUGGCUUCCUUUAAAGAUAUCAAAUAGUAAAUAUAUUCCUACAAAAUUUAAGUUAUCAGAUUUAUCCCUUCAAAGAUCCUUCCGUCUGUAAAUAUAUUAUUCUAUUAAGAAAAUUUAUAUAACCAUGAGUUAAACAAACUAAUAACAGUUAAUUAAGGGAUAAAAUAACCUUUUUAUUCUUUAUAUAUAAAUUUAUAUAUAAUUUGUAUUCCAGUGUUGUAUCUCGUCAUCUUUCUCACCCUCUCCUCUUUUUCCAUGGCGACGAUGAGAUCUAUGGUGGUGGCGACUUUGAAGGCGAGACCCUCGAUCGCGGUAAAAAUGAGAUACGCUGCACGUGCCGCGGCGAAGGCGAGAAAAGAGAGGAUAGAAAAAAAAAAAGUUUUUUAUAGAAACAAACAUGUAAAGAUAAAAUAGUCAUUUUACGCACUCACCAUUAAAAAACUAACGGUGAAUCAAACAGUAGAGACAUAUAUAAACAAACUUAAAUUUUUGGAGGAAUAUAUUUACAAAUCAAAGAAUUUUUAAAUGAAUAAAUCUGAUAACUUAAAUUUUAUAGGGAUAUAUUUACUAUUUGUUAUCUUUACAUAGACCUAUAUAAACUUAAUCCUACUUUAUAUGAAAAAUGUUACUUGUACAUCCUAAUCUCACUUACCUAAUGGGUAGGAGUGAAUUGCUAGUCAUAUUAAAUGACUAGUGAAAUAAUCCCACCUAUUAGAUGGAUGAAGUGUGUGUAUAUAGCAUUACUUAUUUUAUAUUAUAAUGUGAGUUGAUAAUAGGAAGUAUUUUAUUUUGGGGAAAACUUCAAACUCCACUAUGUAGUUUUACAUUUUCUCACUUUAGUAUUAUAUGAUUUAAAGUGUAUCAAUUUAAUAUUCUAUGAUUUUUAUCUUUUUAUUUUUGAUUCUACCAAUUUUUUUUGUUAAAUUAGUGAUAAAGUUUUUUUAUUUUUUUUGAGAGAUAGGUAGCAUGCUACCCGCUUCGUUUAUUUCAUUUAGAAAAAAACUUAGCUGAAAAUGUGAAUUAACUAGAAUUCGAACUUGGGUCUCGAGUACCAACCACUAAAUUCUUUACCACUUGAUAAAGUUAAAACUAAAAAAUACUAAAAUGAAUAUUCGAUAAACCUAUGUGGAGAUAUCUGAAAUUUUUUGUAUAUAAUUUAACGAAAUAUUAACUAAAAAAUUGACAAAAAAUUAAAAAUAAAAUUAUAAGAUACUAACUUGAUAUACUUUAAAUUACGAAAUACUAAAAGGAGAAAGUGCGAAACCACAUGGGUGGUUAUUGAAGUUUACCCUUUAUUUUGUUGCUAGAUGAUUUAUGCACUUGCCUCGGGGGAGUCAUCUUGUUCACGGCAAUCACGGGUUUUGAACCUCCACAGCAAGAGAGAGAGAGAGAGAGAGAGAGAGAGAGAGAGAGAGAGAUAUUUAAAGCAACUGUGGGUGACGAGGAAACCCGCAUCCAUACGCCGGCUCCUUCGCCAUCUUUGCAAUCUAUAUACAGUACGAGAGGAGAAAUUACUGCUUGCACAUGUUUCAUGCACCAUAAUGAUUUAUCUAAAAUUAAAAUUUUAAUUUGAUAGAUAUAAUUUAUAAUAUUUAAAAUAUUAAUUAAUUUAUAAAAAAUAAGAAUUUAAGUGCAGUGGUAUGGAGUCGUGUCGGAAACAUGCCGGCACAGUACGGCACGUGUGAGUACCGAGCCGUGCCGAUGCACGCAGGUCAAAAAAAUUCUUAUGUGCCGACACAUAAGAACAUAAAAUAUAUAUUUUCUUUAGCAACAAAAUAUUAUAACUAUUUAUUAUAUCUUUUUAUCACAUCUUUUGAACUUUAUUGAGAAAAUUAAUUACUAAUUUGAAGAAUAGAGGGUUUUGAGCUGUGCCAUCGGCAUGGGGUCUGCAUCGUGUCGGUAUCUUGUUGGCACGGUACGGCACGGUGGAUACAGUCCAUACCGACGGGCACUUAAAAUCUUGAUAAAAAGUAUGUCAAUUUUAAAAAUUUAUCAUUAUCUAGAAGGCAAGUAGUGUGUUAAAAAUCAACACCUUAAACAUUCAAAAUUUAUGAUAUUUUGACGUGUAAGUAUUUUCGAACGUCAAAGAGCACUUCUGCCACAAAGUGAGUUUCGGUUUCAAGGUCGGAUGAUGGUGUCAACAUAGCAAAAAGUACUAAGUUACCUAAGUAUACACUCGUCUCGCUCAACCCUUCAGAAACACGAUAGCCAAGCGUAUUCACUAACAGAAUUUAACCAAAUUCAAUAAACCCGACACGCGGUGCACUGUGCAUCAGGUGUAUACAAUAAUCUCUAGCUUUAAUAAAUAGUAGGGGGAAAUGUGAUGGGUUGGUCUGAGGAGGAGCCCUUUUGUGUCCCCUCCCACCCCCCAAAUUAAACAGUGUAUAGUAUGUAUUGGGGCCUUUAAUGCAUGAGAACAAGGAGAGUUCAUGAGGGUCAUAGGGCUUGCGUGAACCCAAUCAGGGCCAGCAUACAUAUAUAUAUAUAUAUAUAUAUAUAUAUAUAUAUGUGUGUGUGUGUGUGUGUGUGUGUGUGUGUGGUAUUUUAUCCACCAUCCAUUACUUUCCCAUCUGAGCUGAUCAUGAUGAUGAUGAUGAAAACGAUGAGCCCCUCCCCUCUAUUAUAACUGUUUAUUAUUAUUAUUAUUAUUAUUUUCAGAAAACAACAGUAUUGUGUUUCAAGAGAUCUGUACAUUUACACCCUUUGGCAUUUGCCUUCUGAUGUUAUUUAAUAAUGCAACACUACGAGCUAGCAGGUGUACGUAUCAGUGCAUGGGGUACGACUUGAAGCAAUUGAAUUUGAAUGGCCUUGACAUGUUUUGCCCUUUCUUUCAUAUUUUCUGUGUUUUUUUUUUUUUUUUUUUUUUUGAGUUGCCGUGACGGCAUAGUUCCCCGAUAUUUUCACUAUGCCCUAAGUUCAUAUUUGAAUGCAUAAAUACCUUAUUUAAAAAAUACUUUUAAUUUACUGAAAAAAUUAUUUUAAUAAUCGAGUAGAAAAAAUAUAUAAAGUAUAAAAAUAAAAAAGAACUCAAAGCACGUAGCAACGUCACUCUUAUUAAGGUUUGAUCCGUCUAUACCGUUCUGAUAAUUUGUGUACAUUGGAUCAAUGAAUAGCCUCGAAGUAUAAAUUUCAACUGCAUUUGCACACAUAAAUUUGAGCUUUUGAACAAUCACUCGAUUAAAGUUGUCAAAAAGAAAAAGAGUAAGAAAACAAGAAUGGAUUUUUUAUGAAUAGAAACUUAAACUCUUCAUCUAUCCUUCAGCAGUCAAUGCUAUGGCUUAUAUAGACCACGAACGGAUAUUUCAUGAAAUGACACUUUAUAAACGGAUGUUUCAUGAAAUAACUUUUCAACUUGUGAGUUUUCAUUUGAUUACAACUACCAUUUAGUUAUAGGAGUCAAAUUUAAUGAAUGCAAGUUUGUUCGUUUGAUGGAGUGUGUGUAUGUCCAUUAGAUAUUUUGUGAAUUUGUAUAAAAAAUCCACAAGUUUUGUUGCUUUUGCAAAAUUGGACCGUAUUUUUCGGUUUUGCAGAUUCGGAACAUAUUUUCAGAAAACUAACCAAAAUACCCUUGUUCUUUUCUCUCUCUCUCUCUCUCUCUCUUUUUCUCUCAUUCUUUUUUUUUCUCUCCGAAGAGAGAGGCGGGGGCGGAGGCAGAGGUGGCCUUCCUUGCCUCUACCCCACGCGUCCUCGCACGCAUCCGCGUACCACCCGCCAUCCUUGCCUUCAACCCCAUCAUGGUUGCGCUCGCUGUCGCCCUUUGGGACGCCCCUCCUCGCCUCCGCCCCAUGCGCCCUCUCCUGCCCCAGCUCAUCCCCCGCCCUCCUCGCCUCCGACCUCGCCGAGGCUGUGUCGCGAUCCUCUUUUUUUUUUUUCUCUCGGAACUUUCUCCACCGCCUCCGUGGCCCUUCACGACGAUAACAAAGACAGCACCACGUUCUCUAACUCCACCUCCACUGCAGCAGAUUUUUCACCCACUAAAUUCACUUUUGGGAAUUCGCCGUUCUCACCGCCGCCAAUGACCACAAAAAGAAAGCGCUUCUCGGCGCCAAGAAGCUCGCUGGCAGGGGAGGGGGCACGCGACCCACCAUGCCCACAGGGGGCCGACGAUGAGCGAAGUGGAGACGUAGGACAGCGCAACGACGCCAGAGAAGAGGGCGGGGCGGCGGCAUCCCAGAGGACAGCGGCGAGCCCGGCCUCGACUUGGUCGAAGACGAAGAGGGCGGGGGGUGCACGAGAGCAUCUCUGGACCUCUAGUCAAGCACUUUUGUUUACCUAAAAUAGAAAAAAAAAAAAAAAAAAAAAAACUAAAGGUCAAAAACUAAAGAUUAAGUAACAAGAACUAGAGAAGAAGGAAAAAUAAUAUAAAGUUACGCUAUUUUAAAAAAAGUUGUACUGUUAUAGACGUAAGUUGCACUCUUUGAUAUGUAAAUUGCAUCCUUUAAAAUAAAAGUUAUACUCCUUAAACGAAAGUUACACUCUUCAAAUGUAAGUUAUAUCUAAAUUUUAAUUUUAUAUAACUUGAAUUUUUUAUUUCAUCUUAAAUUUAAAGUUGAAAUUUAAUUAUACGAUUUAAAUUAAAAUUUAUAAAAUUUUAAAAUAAAAUUAAAAUUUGAGUUUAAAUUGUGAAUUAAAGUUAAUUUUUGAAAUUGAAAAUUUUAAAGUAAAUGUGAAACAUAUACUUAAAUUUUGGAUUUAUCAAAAUUUAAAAAAUAUAUAAAAAAAUUCAAUUUAUAUUAAAAAAAACAAUAUAUAAGGAUAUUACAGAUAUUUUCUAAUUAAAUAUAAUAUAUGAAUUUAUAAAAUAUAAUUUUUAUUAUAAUUUUUUGAUUAAAUAUGAUGCACUAAUUUAUCUUAAUUUGAAAAUAAAUUAAAAUAAUUAUGACGUGCAUUUGCAAGCAUACUCAACUUGUUACGUUGUUUCCGAUAAAUCGAGUUUUGACCGUAUCUUUAUUACGGCGAAACAAACAGUAAAAAUAAUCAUUUUCGGCCGAAAACGAUUUCGCUCCUCUCCAUUUUUAUCCAAACAAAUAGGCCUUAAGGGGAACCGCACUUCACUCACAAUGCUUGCCGGCCGGUGACCAUGCUUUUGACUGGUGAUUGAUUUUGAUACCAACUGUGACACUCUGCCCUAGGCUCGGUCAGCCCUCUUAAUCUCUUAGUAGAUUUAGUUAUUGCUCAAAAUGUUAUAAUCGAGUUAAGAGCACUCUUCCAAAUUCGGUGUGUCACAAAUCCUGUCCCUCAAACCGUCAACUCGACCCAUCCAACCCUCUCCGCCGGACUUAACCUGUCAACCAGACCCAUAAAUUCAAGGUCGAUCCAGACCCACAAAUUUAGUGGGUGUUCCCAAUCAGACCAGGCCGUGCCGACCUAAUAAUUUCCGGUCUUCAAUAACACUUUUUAUUAUAU
RNAcentral lists this long non-coding RNA (12550 nucleotides) under Ananas comosus (pineapple). Its description in RNAcentral is "long non-coding RNA (ACOM_LNC043981)". Lineage: Eukaryota; Viridiplantae; Streptophyta; Magnoliopsida; Poales; Bromeliaceae. The record is from RNAcentral.